Molecule: microRNA precursor, 126 nt
Filed under: Myotis brandtii (Brandt's bat)
Lineage: Eukaryota; Metazoa; Chordata; Mammalia; Chiroptera; Vespertilionidae
Description: mir-9193 microRNA precursor family
Rfam family: mir-9193 microRNA precursor family
Source: Rfam by way of RNAcentral
CGUGCACCGGUGGGGUCCCUUGGCCUGGCCUGCGCCCACUCACAAUCCAGGACCCCUCGGGGGAUGUCAGAGAGCUGGUUUCGGCCCCAUCCCGCAGGCCAGGCCGAGGGACCCCACCGGUGCACG